This 497-nucleotide ribosomal RNA is filed under the name uncultured bacterium. Its description in RNAcentral is "partial 16S ribosomal RNA". It matches the Rfam family "Bacterial small subunit ribosomal RNA", at positions 28 to 507 of the family's 1533-position model. The record is from RNAcentral.
GAUGAACGCUGGCGGCGUGCCUAAUACAUGCAAGUCGAGCGAACAGACGAGGAGCUUGCUCCUCUGACGUUAGCGGCGGACGGGUGAGUAACACGUGGAUAACCUACCUAUAAGACUGGGAUAACUUCGGGAAACCGGAGCUAAUACCGGAUAAUAUAUUGAACCGCAUGGCUCAAUAGUGAAAGACGGUUUUGCUGUCACUUAUAGAUGGAUCCGCGCCGCAUUAGCUAGUUGGUAAGGUAACGGCUUACCAAGGCAACGAUGCGUAGCCGACCUGAGAGGGUGAUCGGCCACCCUGGAACUGAGACACGGUCCGGACUCCUACGGGAGGCAGCAGUAGGGAAUCUUCGGCAUUGGGCGAAAGCCUGACGGAGCAACGCCGCGUGGGUGAUGAAGGUCUUCGGAUCGUAAAACUCUGUUAUUAGGGAAGAACAAAUGUGUAAGUAACUAUGCACGUCUUGACGGUACCUAAUCAGAAAGCCACGGCUAACUACGUG